This 209-nucleotide unclassified non-coding RNA is filed under the name Hevea brasiliensis (rubber tree). The record is from RNAcentral. Lineage: Eukaryota; Viridiplantae; Streptophyta; Magnoliopsida; Malpighiales; Euphorbiaceae.
AAAAAUAUAAAACAAUAUGAGGAUUUCAAGAUAAAUAUUGUGUGCGCAACAGAUCCAAAGGAACAUAAAUGAGGAUAAAAGAUGAAAAAUAUUCAGUAGAGCAUAACAACAAUAAGAUAUGCAACCAAAUCAAACUGGUUGCUUGUGGCAAGAUACAGAACAUAUAAACAGGAAAGUAAACUCUAACAUGAGAUAUUUAUGAAUUUCAU